UUUCCUUCGGGACAGAGGAGACAGGUGGUGCAUGGUUGUCGUCAGCUCGUGUCGUGAGAUGUUGGGUUAAGUCCCGCAACGAGCGCAACCCCUGUCCCCAGUAGCCAGCAGGUAAAGGCGGGCACUCUGGGGGGACUGCCGGAGACAAUCCGGAGGAAGGUGGGGAUGACGUCAAAUCAUCAUGCCCCUUACGGUCUGGGCUACACACGUGCUACAAUGGCGCUCAACAAAGGGAAGCGAGCCCGCGAGGGGGAGCGAACCCCAAAAACAGCGUCCCAGUUCGGAUUGAGUCUGCAACUCGACUAUAUGAAGCCGGAUCGCUAGUAAUCGCGAAUCAAAUGCCGCGGUGAAUACGUUCCCGGGUC
Molecule: ribosomal RNA, 365 nt
Filed under: uncultured bacterium
Lineage: Bacteria
Description: bacterial SSU rRNA
Rfam family: Bacterial small subunit ribosomal RNA
Source: RNAcentral